GACGAACGCUGGCGGCGUGCCUAAUACAUGCAAGUUGAGCGCUGAAGGUUGGUACUUGUACCAACUGGAUGAGCAGCGAACGGGUGAGUAACGCGUGGGGAAUCUGCCUUUGAGCGGGGGACAACAUUUGGAAACGAAUGCUAAUACCGCAUAAAAACUUUAAACACAAGUUUUAAGUUUGAAAGAUGCAAUUGCAUCACUCAAAGAUGAUCCCGCGUUGUAUUAGCUAGUUGGUAAGGUAAAGGCUCACCAAGGCGAUGAUACAUAGCCGACCUGAGAGGUGGAUCGCCCACAUGGGAAUGGAGACACGGCCCAAACCCCUACGGGAGGAGCAAGAAGGGAACCUUCGGCAAUGGCGGAAGUCCGGACGGAGCAACGCGGGGUGAGGGAGGAAGUUUUUCGGAUCUAAAAAUCUGUUGGUAAGGGAAGACGUUAGGGGGAAUGGAAAACGCAUCAAGUGACGGUAACUAACCAGAAAGGGACGGCUAACUACGUG
This 496-nucleotide ribosomal RNA is filed under the name uncultured bacterium. RNAcentral's name for it is "partial 16S ribosomal RNA". It matches the Rfam family "Bacterial small subunit ribosomal RNA", at positions 28 to 507 of the family's 1533-position model. The record is from RNAcentral.